This 257-nucleotide non-coding RNA is filed under the name Paenibacillus larvae. RNAcentral's name for it is "T-box sequence". It matches the Rfam family "T-box leader". Rfam says of the family: Uncharged tRNA acts as the effector for transcription antitermination of genes in the T-box leader family. T-boxes are found upstream of many aminoacyl-tRNA synthetase genes and some amino acid biosynthetic genes usually in Gram-positive bacteria. The anticodon of a specific tRNA base pairs to a specifier sequence within the T-box motif, and the NCCA acceptor tail of the tRNA base pairs to a conserved bulge in the T-box antiterminator hairpin. The record is from RNAcentral. Lineage: Bacteria; Bacillati; Bacillota; Bacilli; Caryophanales; Paenibacillaceae.
GAUAUUUCGAUGAACGGAUGAGUACAGGCGGAGGACUAUGGCAGAGAGCCGGGGAAGGUGAAAGCCGGUAUAGGAUGAAACCUGGAAUAUGGUCCUGGAGAGCAUGCCUUCGAGCUGGUGUUUCUAAUUCAUUAGUAAGGGGGUAUCGUGUUCCAGCGUUAAUGGAUGAGUCCGGCAAGCGGACUUAGUGAGCCCUGUUCUCGCAAGAGACAGGGGAAUCUGGGUGGUACCACGUGAGAAAUGCUCUCGUCCCAAGA